Molecule: ribosomal RNA, 372 nt
Filed under: uncultured bacterium
Lineage: Bacteria
Description: bacterial SSU rRNA
Rfam family: Bacterial small subunit ribosomal RNA
Source: RNAcentral
AUUGAACGCUGGCGGCAUGCCUAACACAUGCAAGUCGAACGGCAGCACGGCAGUAGCAAUACUGUGGGUGGCGAGUGGCGGACGGGUGAGGAAUACGUCGGAAUCUGCCCAGUCGUGGGGGAUAACUAGCCGAAAGGUUAGCUAAUACCGCAUACGACCGAGAGGUGAAAGCGGGGGACCGCAAGGCCUCGCGCGAUUGGAUGAGCCGACGUCGGAUUAGCUAGUUGGUGGGGUAAAGGCCCACCAAGGCGACGAUCCGUAGCUGGUCGUGAGAGGAUGAUCAGCCACACUGGAACUGAGACACGGUCCAGACUCCUACGGGAGGCAGCAGUGGGGAAUAUUGGACAAUGGGCGCAAGCCUGAUCCAGCAAU